Long non-coding RNA from Trachemys scripta elegans, 646 nucleotides. RefSeq lists it as uncharacterized. NCBI's taxonomy places the organism in Eukaryota, Metazoa, Chordata, Testudines, Emydidae. The record is from RefSeq and is a predicted model, not a curated record. The transcript has 2 exons.
AGAGGAAAAGGAGGAGGGGGAGCAUGGGGGACAAGUGACCAGGGGAUUCAGUGGCACAGUGAGCCAAGACCUGUUUUUUACUCCAGACAGUUGAACCAGUCGCUAUAGUCCAGCAUGGGUGAGCCUGAUGCAGGAGAAGGAACCUCUGCUGGAGAUGUGGCCUUGAGGGUGUCUCUAUCCACACCAGUGGAGCAGCUCAGCCAGACAGGGAGGAGAAGGUAGAGGACAUGGGUUGGCAUGUUCCAAGAGAUCUUGCAAGUCUCUGGUGCUUUGUAUACUGAGCACAGGGCCUGUAGGAUCACACUCGCAGAAAGAAUGGACAGGGAUAGAGUGGAGAAGAGAAAAGCACAGGAAAAGGAGAGAGAUGUGCAGCAAGAGAUACUAGUGCUUCUCAAGCAGCAAACAGACAUUCUGUUGACCUUCACGUUCAACAGACCUGCAUUUGCCUUCCUUUGCAGCCUAUAGAGAACUGCAUUCUUGGACCUCCCUACACACCCACAUUCCACGUGAUAUCCAUGGCUGUGGCACUACCCCUACCACUCCACCCCAAGGAGAGUACAGAUAAUCAUAGCCACCUGUACUGAACCUGUGAGAGACAUGGUUGGUGUAUAUGUUUGUGAAAUAAAUAUAAUUGUUCUUUCCCGUG